GGUGUAAUUUCGGGUGGCUUUUGGCAUAAUCUCACUAGCUUCAGGAGCUAGUGGGAUCACUCCCGUGCAGGUUCGAUUCCUGUCUUGG
Molecule: transfer RNA, 88 nt
Filed under: Planctopirus limnophila DSM 3776
Lineage: Bacteria; Pseudomonadati; Planctomycetota; Planctomycetia; Planctomycetales; Planctomycetaceae
Description: tRNA-Leu (CAG) (tRNA-Leu-CAG-2-1)
Source: RNAcentral